GACGAACCGUGCGAACGUUGUUCGGAAUCACUGGGCUUAAAGGGCGCGUAGGCGGACUCGCCAGUCUGUGGUGAAAGCCCCCGGCUCAACCGGGGAAGUGCCGUGGAUACUGCGAGUCUGGAGGAGGGUAGGGGCAUCUGGAACGCUGGGUGGAGCGGUGAAAUGCGUUGAUAUCCAGCGGAACUCCGGUGGCGAAGGCGAGGUGCUGGACCCUUUCUGACGCUGAGUGCGCGAAAGCCAGGGGAGCAAACGGG
This 254-nucleotide ribosomal RNA is filed under the name uncultured bacterium. Its description in RNAcentral is "partial 16S ribosomal RNA". It matches the Rfam family "Bacterial small subunit ribosomal RNA", at positions 524 to 776 of the family's 1533-position model. The record is from RNAcentral.